AGAGGUUGCUUCUGGCUCAGAACGAACGCUGGCGGCGUGGAUAAGACAUGCAAGUCGAACGAGAGAAUUGCUAGCUUGCUAAUAAUUCUCUAGUGGCGCACGGGUGAGUAACACGUGAGUAACCUGCCCCCGAGAGCGGGAUAGCCCUGGGAAACUGGGAUUAAUACCGCAUAGUAUCGAAAGAUUAAAGCAGCAAUGCGCUUGGGGAUGGGCUCGCGGCCUAUUAGUUAGUUGGUGAGGUAACGGCUCACCAAGGCGAUGACGGGUAGCCGGUCUGAGAGGAUGUCCGGCCACACUGGAACUGAGACACGGUCCAGACACCUACGGGUGGCAGCAGUCGAGAAUCAUUCACAAUGGGGGAAACCCUGAUGGUGCGACGCCGCGUGGGGGAAUGAAGGUCUUCGGAUUGUAAACCCCUGUCAUGUGGGAGCAAAUUAAAAAGAUAGUACCACAAGAGGAAGAGACGGCUAACUCUGUGCCAGCAGCCGCGGUAAUACGUAGGUCUCAAGCGUUGUUCGGAAUCACUGGGCGUAAAGCGUGCGUAGGCUGUUUCGUAAGUCGUGUGUGAAAGGCAUGGGCUCAACCCGUGGAUCGCAUUGGAAACUGUCAUAUUUGAUUGCCGGAGGGGUAAGCGGAAUUCCUAUUGUAGCGGUGAAAUGCGUAGAUAUUAGGAGGAACACCAGUGGCGAAGGCGGCUUACUUGGACGGUAACUGACGUUGAGGCUGG
RNAcentral lists this ribosomal RNA (727 nucleotides) under uncultured bacterium. Its description in RNAcentral is "bacterial SSU rRNA". It matches the Rfam family "Bacterial small subunit ribosomal RNA", at positions 8 to 755 of the family's 1533-position model. The record is from RNAcentral.